UUCCAAUUUUUAAGCAGAUAUUUCAUUUAAGAAACUACAAGAUAAAAAUCUAUACUUAAAUUUCAUAAUUUCAGGAAUUAAAUAUAUGUAUAAUGAUAUAAGAUAUUUGAAUUCCGUGCGCGGCGCUGAUUGGAAGAGUAAUUUUGUCGUAUCACCAAUCAGAAAUUAACUAAACGAUUCUUUAGACGUGAACGUCAUUCUCCCGCCGAAAACCGUGGCAUAAACAUUACGAUCCGGUUUCAGCAUUCACUAACACUACGAGACUACGAGGUAUGAUGAUUCAUUCCUUCGUGGUGGCGAUUUCUGAGCUCCAAGAGCCAAGAAUAUUUUUCACAUUACGCCACGGAAUGCAGUGUGUGUUUUUUUAUGACUGCCUUUGCGAUAUCUUGGGACGAUUUACUGCAGCGUUAGUGGUACAUCCUUCGCAUCUAAUCGUGAGUUGCAUGAAUUUUUGUUCUUCCGGUCACUCAAUCAUGUCGUAGGAUGAAAGGUCCUAAUCGACACUGGUGACUGGUUGUAUUACGUAGAAUUGUAUGCGAGUAUAGUGACUGCGAGUAUUUAUUAUAUUCGUGAGUAGUAACACUUUGUAUUUUAACGUCUUAUUUACUAGCUUAGGAUAGAUCUUCCUGCACAUUGCGUUUUUUAUAUUACCAAUAUGAUGUUGGUGAUUAAGAUUUUAUAUUAAUAACAUUAAUAUAAUGUUAACAACUGGUAGGAACAAUAUUAUAUUGAUAAUUAUUCUUUGAUAAUUGCAUCACCAGAAUUACUUUUAAAAUACGAUUAUGUAUAUACAUAAGAAUAUACAUGAGACGUGAAUAUUUGUAUCUAUAAUAAAUAUUAAAAUGAUAUUGAUUAUUUCAUAGCGGAAAAGUCUGAUAUCCUCCGGCAUUGUUACAAUUAUUGCACAAUAAUAAUAAUGAGAAUUCAUAAUAUAUAAAAUAAUGUAUAAAAUAAAUAAUUUUAGUAAUAAAUCAUCUUUAAUUUUAUCUUCUGUUUCACUACUAUCUUAAUUUGCAUAAUUCUUUGAUCUUCAUAUUAUAAACUGGAGUAUAAUUUAAAUUGUAUAAUAAAGUAUUAGAGUUCAGUUCCUUCCGUAUGAAAGUAUAUUAAAUGUUAUGUGCAAGAAGAAACUUCGCGACAGGUAAAUUUCUGAAUUAAAGCAACAGGUUUUGAACUCUGCUUUUAUACUUUUUAAAAUAUGCUUUGAUGAAGAGAUAAUCUGAGAUUAUUUAUAUUAAUAUUAAAUUCAGAAUCAGUUAUAAAAUAAAUUUCUUAUUCAUUUCCAAGCUUCUUCUUUCUAAAAUUUUAAUAAUUCA
Molecule: long non-coding RNA, 1316 nt
Organism: Bombus pascuorum
Lineage: Eukaryota; Metazoa; Arthropoda; Insecta; Hymenoptera; Apidae
Exons: 3
Source: RefSeq, a predicted model, not a curated record